RNAcentral lists this ribosomal RNA (1431 nucleotides) under uncultured organism. RNAcentral's name for it is "16S ribosomal RNA". It matches the Rfam family "Bacterial small subunit ribosomal RNA". The record is from RNAcentral.
GCUUAACACAUGCAAGUUGAGGGGCAGCAUGGUCUUAGCUUGCUAAGGCCGAUGGCGACCGGCGCACGGGUGAGUAACACGUAUCCAACCUGCCGUCUACUCUUGGACAGCCUUCUGAAAGGAAGAUUAAUACAAGAUGGCAUCAUGAGUCCGCAUGUUCACAUGAUUAAAGGUAUUCCGGUAGACGAUGGGGAUGCGUUCCAUUAGAUAGUAGGCGGGGUAACGGCCCACCUAGUCUUCGAUGGAUAGGGGUUCUGAGAGGAAGGUCCCCCACAUUGGAACUGAGACACGGUCCAAACUCCUACGGGAGGCAGCAGUGAGGAAUAUUGGUCAAUGGGCGAGAGCCUGAACCAGCCAAGUAGCGUGAAGGAUGACUGCCCUAUGGGUUGUAAACUUCUUUUAUAAAGGAAUAAAGUCGGGUAUGGAUACCCGUUUGCAUGUACUUUAUGAAUAAGGAUCGGCUAACUCCGUGCCAGCAGCCGCGGUAAUACGGAGGAUCCGAGCGUUAUCCGGAUUUAUUGGGUUUAAAGGGAGCGUAGAUGGAUGUUUAAGUCAGUUGUGAAAGUUUGCGGCUCAACCGUAAAAUUGCAGUUGAUACUGGAUAUCUUGAGUGCAGUUGAGGCAGGCGGAAUUCGUGGUGUAGCGGUGAAAUGCUUAGAUAUCACGAAGAACUCCGAUUGCGAAGGCAGCCUGCUAAGCUGCAACUGACAUUGAGGCUCGAAAGUGUGGGUAUCAAACAGGAUUAGAUACCCUGGUAGUCCACACGGUAAACGAUGAAUACUCGCUGUUUGCGAUAUACAGCAAGCGGCCAAGCGAAAGCGUUAAGUAUUCCACCUGGGGAGUACGCCGGCAACGGUGAAACUCAAAGGAAUUGACGGGGGCCCGCACAAGCGGAGGAACAUGUGGUCUAAUUCGAUGAUACGCGAGGAACCUUACCCGGGCUUAAAUUGCAGAUGAAUUACGGUGAAAGCCGUAAGCCGCAAGGCAUCUGUGAAGGUGCUGCAUGGUUGUCGUCAGCUCGUGCCGUGAGGUGUCGGCUUAAGUGCCAUAACGAGCGCAACCCUUGUUGUCAGUUACUAACAGGUUCCGCUGAGGACUCUGACAAGACUGCCAUCGUAAGAUGUGAGGAAGGUGGGGAUGACGUCAAAUCAGCACGGCCCUUACGUCCGGGGCUACACACGUGUUACAAUGGGGGGUACAGAGGGCCGCUACCACGCGAGUGGAUGCCAAUCCCCAAAACCUCUCUCAGUUCGGACUGGAGUCUGCAACCCGACUCCACGAAGCUGGAUUCGCUAGUAAUCGCGCAUCAGCCACGGCGCGGUGAAUACGUUCCCGGGCCUUGUACACACCGCCCGUCAAGCCAUGGGAGCCGGGGGUACCUGAAGUGCGUAACCGCGAGGAGCGCCCUAGGGUAAAACUGGUGACUGGGGC